RNAcentral lists this long non-coding RNA (5950 nucleotides) under Mytilus galloprovincialis (Mediterranean mussel). The record is from RNAcentral. Lineage: Eukaryota; Metazoa; Mollusca; Bivalvia; Mytilida; Mytilidae.
GAGAAUUACAGUCGCAUUAUAUUGUAUCCCGAAUUUAUAUACCUGUGUUAGUGUUUUAAUUCAUUGUGUGGACACAACAUAUUACCUGAUUAUUGUAAGUUAAAUUCUUUGUUAUAUAAUUAAUAUUUUCACAUGUAAAUGAUAAAUUUAGCAAUGUUUCUAUUAUAUGAUUUCGUUCUCCUCGUAAAGUUUGGUUAUUACAUAAGUAUGAUAGAUGUACCCGAGAAUAUUUUAUUUAGCUUCGUGCUUCAUAUAUUUUAUUAUCUACCGUUAAUUUGUCACGAUAGAAUAUAUAGUACAAGAUAAUUUGCAUAGCUAUUUGAUUAUUGACACAGAUAAUUUAUAUUUAAUAAAUGGUGGCAUAUUAGAUAAAAUAAGGGAAAGUGUUCAAGUUGAUAUUUAUUAGUACACUUAUAUUAUACAUUGUAAUGAUAGAAGUUUAACUAUGAAUGAACUUGAGUUAUUUUGUCAUAUUGUAUAUUUUAAUAUUUUACGAGUCCGAAUGUUUAUGAUUGCAUUUUGGUUUUAGGACUCCAUUGAUGUAGUUAUUUGAAACUUGAAACUUUGAAACUUUUUAUUUCUCAAAGACCCCAUCAGGGGUAUGUGAAUAUAAACAGUAAUAACAAACAAUAACAUAUAUACAAAAUAAUGAGAUAAUAGAAUGACAUGGUUACAUAUUCAACGGUAUACAUAAAGUACAUGAUUUAAGGAAUUUGCAGUGGAAGGCAAAUCUAAUUUAUAACAGACAGGACAAUUUUACAAAAUUUGGCAAGUUUGACAAUUAAAUUGUAGUCAUCAGAACAGAAAAGUUCACAAUACUUUAUAGCAUUUGGCUUUUUGUACACAUUACAGGGCAAAAGCCUUUUUCUUUCAUUCGAAAAAAAGUACAUUUAAAUAGCUUAUGAAAUUCAUCACCAAUUUCACAUAAAUUGCAUAAAUCGUAAAUGCGAUCAUCACGUUCAACACCCCAAAAGCGACCUUGUUCUAUUGGCAAUUUAUGGUUCAUACAUCUAAAAUUACAAUAUGCCUUUCGAAGAUCAUAUGGUAGAUCAACAAUAUAUCUUUCAAAAUUAUGAAUUGUUUUGAAAAUUCUAUAAUUUAAACAUUUAGCUGAAUCAUAAACAGUAGUAACCCAUGUUUGUUUGAACUGAUCACAAAGACAUUGUUUGACUAGAUUUGAUAUGACUACAUUUUUUGGUACACUCUGUGACAGCCAGUACUCUGAGAGACCACAAUUAUUAAGGGUUUUUUCAAUACAAACAAUCCAUUUAGAAUGUAAAAAUUUCUUGAUAUGCAUGUUACAUAAUAACUUGUACAAAGUAGCAGCAAUUUUAUCUUGCUUAUUACAAAUAAUUCUUUUCCAGAAUGCAACCAUUCUACUUUUGAUAAAAAUAUCAAUAGGAAAUCUUCCUAGUUCACCAUACAUGAUACAAUUUGGUGUACAUUUCUUCAGACUUAGUAUAUAGAAUGAAAUUCAAAACAGUGUGGCUGUGGCCAUUGAUUGACACAUUAAAUUCAUCCAUUGACUGGGACAAUUUACGUGAACGUUUGUCUGUAACGACCACUGUUCAUGACGUACUUACGAUAGACAUUUAAACUGCGGGGCCACCAAAGGUUUCUUAACGCCUUUAAUUAUAAAAUAAUUCGAAAAAUUAAUCAGGAAUAACCGUUAUGUUUUGAUUUAUAUAAUUGAUAUAAAUCAAAACAUCGUGUUAUUUCUGAUUAAUUUUUCGAAUUACUUUAUUAAGGUGUUGAGAACCUUUGGUGACCCCAUAGUUUAAGUGUCUUUAAAAAGUACAUAGUGAGCAGUGGUUGUUACAUACAACGUUCACCUAAAUUGUCCCAGUCAAUGGAUGAAUUUAAUGUGUCAAUCAAUGGCCACAGCCACACUGUUUUGAAUUUCAUUCUAUUUAUAAAAUUGCAGACAAAAUGAUUCUAGUAUACUGUUAUUAGUAAAACCCCAAAUCUCACAACCAUACAUUAAUAUAGGUAAAACCAUUACAUCAAACAUCUCAAGCUGUAUAUCAAUAGGUAAAUUUAGUUUUCUACUUUUUUUCAUUAUACUAAACAUAGCCUUUCUAGCUUGGCAAACUAAUCUUUCUUUAUUUUUACAAAAUGAACCAUUUGAAGCAAAAAUUAUUCCAAGAUAUGUAAAAUCACCAACAAUAUCUAUAAUUUGACCGUCAUAAGUGAAUGCAAGGUUAUUAUUCAGUUCAAAAGUACGUUUUCUAAAAAUUACAAUCUUAGUCUUAGCAACAUUUACUUCUAAUUUCCAACAUUUGCAAUACAAAUACAUGGCAUUCAAGGCAGCUUGCAAUUCAGAUUCGGACUCUGCUAAAAUUACAGUGUCAUCAGCAUAAAGUAAUAGAUACAAUCUAAAAUAUACAGCAAUUUCAUCAUUAUCAAGAAAAAUAUGAGCAGCAUUGUAAACAUUUGACAAACCUUCAUAAGAAUGUGACAAAAAUUCAACUAGAUCAUUUAAAAACAAAGAAAAUAGUACAGGAGACAAAUUUUCUCCUUGGCGUACGCCAACAUUGCUAAAAAGAAACUGAGGUGUUACAACCUAAUCGUACACAAUAUUUGGCAUUUUUAUACAUACUGUGAAUUACUUUAAACAUUUUACCAUCAAUACAUUGUUGUAGCAACUUGUGCCAUAAUGCACAUCUUAUCCACCGAGUCAAAGGCUUUCCGGUAGUCACAAAAGCACCAAAAUAAAGGUUUGUUACAUCGCAAGUAAAGAUCAAUCAGACAGUUCAUAUUAAAAAUGUGAUCAGUAGUACCAUAAUGCUUUCUAAAGCCUGCUUGCUCUUCGCAGAGAACGUUAAAAUUAUCUAAAUAACAAUUAAGCCUAUUAUUCAGCACACAUGUGAAUAAUUGACCAAAACAGCUAAGAACCGUAAUGCCCCUAUACUUAUCAGGAUUUGCAGGGUCUCCUUUACAUUUAUAUAUUGGUACAAUAAUACCAUCAGACCAAGAGUCUGGUAGACAACCAGAUUCAAAAACAAUAUUAAACAAAGCAAUAAAAACUGGUAACAUUUUAACAGCAGAAUGCUUCAAAAAUUCAUUAAUAAUCAAGUCAUUUCCACAGGCUUUAUUAUUUUUCAACCCUUUAAUAGCCUGUCUCACCUUAUUUUCUGAAAUAGCUCUAUUCACUUCAGUAUUUAAACUAGUAAUAUUAUCAACAUCAAUAUUUUCAAAUGUAUCAUCAUUUUCAUCUUGACCAGAGUUCAAUUUCUUAAAAUGUUUAUAAAAACAAUCAAGAGACACUUUAUUGAUAAUAUUUUGUUUGGUCUGAGAGCUACAUGCUCUGUUCACUAAGUUCCAGUAUGAUUUACAAUCAUUUUGUCUAAGAUUUUUUAACUUCUUAAUGAAAUUCUUAUUAUACAAUCUAUAUCGAUUACAUAAAACUUUUUUGUACUCUUUACAACACAUUGUUAAAUUUAUCUUGCUUUCAGCAGUUUUAACUCUCCAGUUAUAAUUGUUUGCUCUAUGAUACAAUUUGCGUUUUUCAGCACAUUCUCUAUUGAACCAUGGUUUCCUGACAUUUCUUUUUUUUAAAGAAUUAUCAACCUUUCUAAUGACCUUUUUACAAAGUAUAUUAGUGAACUGUGCCUUGUCCUUGCCAGUAAAAACUCACUUCACAAGUGGUAAGAGUAUAUCUAUUUUUAACUAUGUAAUGUUGUAAACAAAACGUUAUGGAUUAUUCCCCUUUAAAUAUGCGGUUUUAAGCAUAUUUAAUAUAUUGGUUUAAUUAGUCUUUAUAAAAAUAGUAUUUACAAUUUGAUGAUUGUUGUAAUGUAAUUGUAUCUAAAGAACAAAUAAUAUCGUAUGUUCCGAUUACCUUAAUGUUAUAUUUGCAGUUUUAACUUUAGUUUUGUACCGUACACAUAGAAAACCAGUAAACACUAUAUAGUAUAUUAAUUCCGGUCAAGGGUUACAUUCGUGUGUAGCGUAUCACAAUAAGAACUUAAAGUACACGUGACAUCAGUUGACUGAUUGUCUAUUAUAUGUAUUCGUAGAAUAGUACACAUUCUUAAACUGCAUUGUAUUUUACCAUUACUAUAUGUGAUAAUGUGUAAUUUAAGAUACUUGUGUUUUAUAAUAGAACUGUUAUUUAUAAUUGUGAUAUUGUUAUUUCAGAGUUUAUCCUUUUUACUACUGGUAUAAUAAAUCAUCCGAACCCUAAACAGAGUUUAUUAUUACUUGACCCAAGAAUCGACCCUGUUACAAGUAUGCUAAAAAAAAUUAUGCAUUUCCAUAUAAGGUAGUGAUCCCGACCUGUUACACGCCCCAUUCUGACUGGACGUACCUGUGUUAUUUUACUUUGCUCAAAGCUGAUAGUCGUACGAUAACUUAAAAAUGCACAAAUAACAAAUGCGGAACAAUGAGAACUCUUUAAUACAAAAAAAAAAAUUUUCCCUUCAUUUGCUAUUUAAAAACAGUGGUUGAUUUCGGGAUAAUGGAGCUACGUAUAUGAUAAAUGCAUAUUCUUUUUACAAUCAUUAGUCAUAACUUUGUCUAAGGGAGCAACCAUUUAACUUCAAAAGUAGGGAUAUGGUUGUUUUGUCGAAGUGAACAAAAAAAGAAAUCGCGCUAAGCCCUUACAAUUUUAUUAAGUUUUACCAUCGCUAAUAAUCAAAUUAUUUGGUUAAAAUUUAACACUACAAUGCAUUUGGAAAAUGUCGAUUCAGAAUGUUUGUUUUUUUUUUUUUUGUCUUAUUCUUGCACAGAAUAUUUUAUUCUUCUUCAAAUUGGGGAUCAAAAUAUAUUUAUGUACCAUUAUUGAAGCCCCUCGUGAAAGUAUCCAAGUAAAAACAAGUGCUACUUUAGUUCAGCUUUUACAAAUCCAGAACAAUAAGUUGGUCAAUGGAUGUCAAUGUUUACUUUAUUUGGCAUUUUUAAUUAUACUUCACUGUAUUGGCCUUUAUAACUUAACUUGAUUCAAGCGUCACUUAUAAGUCUUUUUAGACGAAACGCGCGUCUAUACUUUUUGACCUACUACGAGUUGGUAAAUUUUUACUGUUGCUCCUAAAAUAUGGGUGCUGGGCGCUUACAACUGCCUGCCUAUGGUUUUAUUUUAUAAAUUUAUUUAACUUUUAAGUAUCAGUAUGUUUUCAUUUCAUUUUGAUUCGUUUCGUUUCGCAUUUAAUUCGUUUUGCAGUUUACAGGUACCCCUCUUUUCGACCCUUUUCUAUUUUUUACAUCUUAAUCAAGAUUUUAAAAAAUCAAACUUCCAAAAUGUGAAAUUAUCAAAAUUGCACAAUAGGUUUAGUAUUUUUAAAGUUUGAUCAAAUUUCUAAACUAUCAAAUAUAAAAACGAUAUUUAGAAUUUUAAUAUUUUAAUUAUUUGGUUAAUUAUUCAAAAUUUGAAAACGUUUACACAAUUUGGAAUUCUUAUAUUUUAAAACUUUAAUCAAAAUUCCAAAAAUUUUAAAUUUGAAAACUUUUUAAAACUUUGAAGUGAUAAGUAUUACACGGACCAUUAAACAAUAAUUUCAAUUUUGUUCAAUCACAUCAAUAAUUUCCAAUUCAAACUACAACAAUUAGCUUCACACUUGUCAUUUUUUUCUCAAUAAAAUAUAUAGUUUUUUUCAAGUUUAUAUCUACACAUGUUUAUUCGGAUAUUCGAUAGUGCUUAUGUAUUAUACAGUGAUGUGUAUCAGGUAAAAUCAAUUGUAUUGGUUAUUUUAAUAUAUAAACUCAUUUUAUUUUUUCACAGGUGAAGUGAUGCUGUUAAAAUACAGGGGGCCCGAAUGGCCUUCAGUAGUCAGCUAGCCCAAUAACAGAUAGCAACACAUAAUUUUACUAGAGAAAACCGAAUGGCCUUCAGUAGUGAGCUAGCCCAAUAACAGAUAGCAACAUAUAAUUUUACUAGAGAAAACAGAAUGGCCUUCAGUAGUGAGCUAGCCCAAUAACAGAUAGCAACAUAUAAUUUUACAACUAGAGAAAC